Molecule: long non-coding RNA, 635 nt
Organism: Vidua chalybeata
Lineage: Eukaryota; Metazoa; Chordata; Aves; Passeriformes; Viduidae
Exons: 2
Source: RefSeq, a predicted model, not a curated record
UGUGGCCGAGGGACCGGACGCGCUCUCUCUUGGACCUUCCUGCUGGGACACCCACCUGGCACCAUCUCUCCCCCCGCUCUCCCUGGGCCUGCCACGAGUUGCGGCUAGCAACUCUAAGCAAGGCCCUUCAUCCUUUACAAUAAACCCUAUGCUCUAAAGACCGGGCCUCAGAGAUCCUUCGUUACCACCCACCCACACCGUCCUGGAGUCCAGCCAUCCCCGCAGAUUGGCGCCCAACGAGGAAGACCGACCCCCACAGACCGGCAACCCCACGUGUCUGAAGACCUCUUCAGCUUUUCUACCUGUGGGAGACUUCUCCAUGGACGCUCUGAGUGGAGUCUGGAGGCCCCGAGCACGGAAAGACGUUCCUGAGCGACGCCUGAAACCGGAGCUCUGAGGGGGACCUCAAGCAGAGUCCUGAGCGCCGACUGGAGUGCCUGGCCAGCCCCCCACGUCGGAGUUCUGAGUGAGGACCCUGCCCCUGCGAUAUCGAGGUGAGCUACACUGGUGUAAAAAUGGGACAAUCCCACUCUGCCCCUGAUCGGGAUCUCUAUAAGGAACUUAAGCAUUCUUUACGCUGCAGUAACAGUACUUUACCUAAGCAAGAGCUUAAAAACCUUUUAGAAUGGACUUUA